UACGUAGGGUGCAAGCGUUGUCCGGAAUUAUUGGGCGUAAAGAGCUCGUAGGCGGUUUGUCGCGUCGAAUGUGAAAACCCGGGGCUCAACUCCGGGCCUGCAUUCGAUACGGGCAGACUAGAGUUCGGUAGGGGAGACUGGAAUUCCUGGUGUAGCGGUGAAAUGCGCAGAUAUCAGGAGGAACACCGGUGGCGAAGGCGGAUCUCUGGGCCAUUACUGACGCUGAGGAGCGAAAGCGCGGGGAGCGAACAGG
This 253-nucleotide ribosomal RNA is filed under the name uncultured bacterium. RNAcentral's name for it is "partial 16S ribosomal RNA". It matches the Rfam family "Bacterial small subunit ribosomal RNA", at positions 524 to 776 of the family's 1533-position model. The record is from RNAcentral.